CACCUCCAGUCCCUAUCGGGCAGGGAGGUUGCUUUAGUAACCCCUUCUUGGCACUCAGAAAAAAUUAGUAACCACUUCUAGAGAAGUGGUGAGAACUGGUUGGAUCCCACCUCUGAACCCAACCCCACAUCUUCCACCAGUGGCCGGGGAGACCUGGCUACACUACGCUUUAUAGAAAGAAAUCCCCUGUACGUCAAAGCAAAUAAAACGUGUAUCGGAGAGAAGGGUAAGAUAGAACCCUUCCCCUUGGUGCUGGAUUCUAUGAGAAAUGUGCAGGGGGCGGGGAGGUGUUGUAUGGGGGAGCAUUGUCAGCUGAGACCAUACCUGCCAUCUGAAGUGGUUUGGCUCAAACAGAGGUUUAUUAGCUCAGUGAUAACAAGCCAUUUAUGGAUACCCCGACUUUCCGCCUGCUAGGUGCAGCCACCUCUUCAGGCAGUCAAAGCAGGAAUCUGGUAACGUAGGUUGAGCAGUCCUUAGACAGUCCUGCAGUAACCCCUGCCUGCCAUGCCAUCCAAUCGAAUGCAUUCCAUUGCUGGGUUUGGCAGGGCGCAUUUAGGUGGAACCAGUCUACUGGCCUCCUGGUUUUGAACCCCAUAGGUAUAGCCUUUAUCUUGCUACUUUUGGGUAACCCACAGGGAUGCUGGAUGGGAAAGUUGCUGGAGAGCUUGGUGUUUUUGAUGGAGGAGAUCCCUGUAUUCUAAUUCUUCCUGUUACCAAGUGCCAAGGGCCUAGUCUGCUUUAUCACAUCCUCUGGGGUCCAGUCACAGGCUCUCCCCAUGUCUAUUUUAGCCAAUUCCACAUAUCUCCUCCUUCCUUAUGUGACGCCUGUCAGUGUUUCUGAAGCAGCAGCCCCACUAGCCUGGGCCUCUUUCUCUUUGCUGGCCCUAUUUCUAGUGAAACACAGAGGCACAGAAAGGGGAGAAAAAUAAUUAAUUAGGCACAGCUACAAACUGAUCAACAGGCUUUAUUUAACAAAUGGAAAUCAGUAGCAAAAGGUAUGCUCUGCAAUAUAUGAAAAUGACGCCUUGUAACCUGGGUUUCUGUUUCUGCAUUCCGCACACGCAGGCAUAUGCACGUGUACAUACUGGCACACACACACACACACACACACGACUCACUGUUUUCAGACAUAGCUAGGGUUGCCGCCCUCCAGAUGUGGCCUGGAGAUCUCCUGAUAUUACAACCUGUCAAGACGGGGUGGCCAAUAUGGCACCCCAGAUGUUCAUGGACUACAAUUCCCAUCAUGGGAAUUGUAGUCCAUGAACAUCUGGGGUGCCAUAGGUUGGCCAAACCUGUGCUAAGACAUCUCCUCUCCCUAAACUCUGUCUUCCUCAUGCUUCACCCCCAAAUUUCCAGGAAUCUCCUACUCAGGAGUCGGUAGGGGUGCCAACUCCAGGUUAGGAUAUACCUGGGGCUUUGAGGGUAGAUUAGGCAGGGGAGGGACUUCAAUGGGGUUUAAUGCCAUAAAGUCUGCCUUCGAAAGCAGCCAUUCUCUCUAGAGGAACGGAUCGAUGUCAUCCGGAGAUCAGUUGAAAUCUCAGCUCUCCAGCCACCACUGGGAGGUUAGCAACCCUAGGAGAUAGUGGCUCUAGACAGAGCUGCUCCUUACCUCAUUUUCUUCUGCUACAAAGGGAAAAAUGUCUUCAAUUUAUUCCUCACUAGCAAGGAAAAGAAUACCAAUGGCACACUUACCUGUAUCCUUGUGAGCGUAUCCCUACAGUAGUGCUCAAAGAUGCAUGGGAUCCUCUGACCCUAGAGCCAUGGUGGCGAACCUAUGGCACUCCAGAUGUUCAUGGACUACAAUUCCCAUCAGCCAAUUGGCCAUGCUGGCAGGGGCUGAUGGGAAUUGUUGUCCAUGAACAUCUGGAGUGCCGUAGGUUCGCCAUCACUGACCUAGAGGGGUAACCCAGCCUGUGAGUAUGGAAAGGUCUUUCAAGGGGUAGCAAUAAGAACUGGGUGCACUUAACUGUUCAGAGUCAGGAGUCCCUAAUAGGAAACCAGAGUAGGCGGCUCAAUUAGGAGCAUAGACAGAAACAUAAAACCACACAAAACAAAGAGGAGGGCAAAUGUGCUUGGAGGGCAAAUAGGGCCUUGACAAGAUCAAGGCAAUCCCUGUGAUGAAGUUAAUAUUGUAAACAUGACAUAUGCACUUUAAGCAUCUAUUUGCUGUAGAAAAGGCACAGUUGACCAGACUUCAGGAGGGUACAGUAAGAAUGACAAUGAGGGUAAAGAAGGAAAAAUCCUGAGUAACAAUAUAAUUUUCUAACUUGCUGCUGUCUGUUUGGUUUUUUUCAAUCCAGGCUGAAGGGUUGUGCAAUUCUUUAAAUGUAGAAGGUGGCCACCCAUUUUGGGCUCAGCACCUACCUCACACUUUGUUGCCCUUUCAGACAGGAGCAUAUGGCCGUUGAAAAAAAUCCUUUCAUAGUAUUAUAAUGCUCAAUGUAGGAAGCAAGGCUGUAUGCUAAAUUCAGCUGUCUGCUUGAGUGGCCGAACCAGGGUUGUGAAACUCUAGGUGGGGCCUGGAGCUCUCCCGGGGUUAAAACUGGUCUCCAGGCUACAACAAUCAGUUCCCUUGAGAGAAAAUGGCUGCUUUGGAAGGCGGAGUCUAUAGCAUUAUAGGCCUGUGGGGUCUCUCCCCUCUCCAAACCCCACUGUCCCCAGGUUCCAUCCCCAAAUCUGCAGGAGUUUCCCAGUCUAGAGCUGGCAAUUGUAGUCUGGACAUGACAGUUUACAUCAAACCUACUGUACAUUCAGCUGCUAGACCAAGAUAUAAAACAGUACCCAGGAAAAGCCCAAUUUUUCCAAAAGGAAAAUAAUAAAACUUUUUGGCAAGUUGCUUAAAUAUUUUGAAUCAAAUUCAGGGGAAUCUAUAACAAUAUAUAUAUAAUUUUUAGUAAGUCUUAAAUAAAGCCUCAAAAUAAUGAAACAUUGCACAAAAAUAUUUUGAAAAACACUCCCAGUGUAAUCUGAAUUAACAUGAUUUUAGAAAUGUGACUACAGAUAUUGCGAUCGCUGAUACAGAAAGUCUGCAUUCUGAGUGGUGUAUUGUCUUCUAGUAAAUUUUUGCGUGGGUUCUAUUUGUUCCUUCAUCUUGUUGUUUAUUUUAACUGGGACUAAAGUGAUUGCUAUUCAAUCAUAAGAGCAAUACCAGUGAAAUGGUUUACAAUGUCAUCUCUUGCUACUGUUCUAAGAAUUCCAGGUGUAAGAUUUUUCCGUAGUAGUAAUUGUGAUCUCUGCAGGGCCAUUUAAAAAUUAUGCUAAAUUCAGAUUACACUAAACAUUAACUUUGUUUUGCUAAAAAUGCGUGUUUGAUUGUUCUGAGACUUUUUUCUAAGAUUUACCAAAUCUCAUAGAUUCUCAUGAAGAUUUCAAAAAUGUGUCAGGAGCUGCUUCCAGUGUUUUAAAAUAACUUUUACCUUUUGGGCUCUUCCUGGUUUCUGUUCUUCAUUGGUGGGUGUAUUCCAAGAUGAGAAGAGCUUGAGGAAGAUAUAGCAAGAACAAGAAACAUCUUGCCAGUAUUUGAAGAAUUCAGUUGAUUAAGACAGUGAAUGAGUGCUCCUAUGCAACAAACCUAUAACCCUAUGCAUGCUUGCUUGGGACUAAGUCCUCUUGAACUCUGGGUCUUACUUUUGAGUGAACAUAUGUAGGGUACUGUGGUGGUGGGUGAAGAUUUACUGCUAAUAGAUCAUCCCAUGUUUUUUAGCAGCCUGGUAAAAAAAGGCCACCAUCAUCUACAGCUUUACGGGAAGAAAAAGAAGAAAAGCAAUAACAAGGAGAAAUUGGCCUCUGCUGAGUGAGCCAGUGCCCUCUCGCUCGCCGACACUUCUAGUUUACCUGCCAUAUCUGCACAGCCACUCCAUGCUGGAUUUUAGCGAUCCCCACUCAUGCACUGCACUGUGAUAUUACUGAACCAGAGCCGGGGUGGGUCUUGCGUCUUAGUCCAUAUGAUGAAUUUGUGUGAGGAGUGCCAGCUGAGCAAAUGGCAUGGGCCUCCCUUCUCAGGCAUUCUGGGGAGGGGUCGACAGGCUAUUGGGAGGUCAGGAGACAUCAUCUAACGGGGUUGUCUUAAAAACAAUUGCACAGUCUUAUCAAAUUUCUGAAACGUCUGUUAUUGCACUUAGAGCUAGACAAUGAUGUCCUCUUUUCCCCUUCAUGCAUCAUCGUUAUUAGAUGCUGGCUACAGAUUACGUUGCCCACCAAAACAGAAGCCCCGUGUUGCCAAAAUUUGCUUACUGACAACUUUGAAGCAAGCUGAGAAGGCUGGAGCCAAAGAAGGGGUCAAGAUUUUUCCCCCUCCACUGUUGAGCCAUUCUUGUCUCUGUAUUUAGCAACUAUUUCUCCCUCCAAGGGGGGAGGGCGGGGGAAGUAACCAUUCUGCUGGGGCAGCAGCAGCAGCCAGCAUUUCCUGCUUCCCUGUGUUCACAUGUGAUCCCGUCCAGUUGUCUCUGCCUCUCUGGGCAGGAGUCUAGCAUUUUCAUCAGGCAAAGAUGGGCUGCCACACAUGGCAACUGGAAUGUGUAGCCAGCAUCUACUCAUCUUCCAUUGCAUACAAGGUCAAAAAAAGAGAAGUAAUGGUUGGGAUAGAUAAAUUUAACAACAGCGAUAGUUGCGGGGGUGGGAGGGUUGCUCCAGCCUAGAAUGCAGGUGGAAGAAUUGCCUGAGCCCUGCUCUGUGGGAAAAAUAACCCCGCACAUGUAAAACUAGCAUUGCGGAGAGAAAGCUAGGCUAGCAGUCUUCUUCUACCCCUCCAACUUUCGAUUCAAUCAAAUGAUCCCUGCAGUGGUACAAUCGAGGAAUUACUUUAUGUCUUAUUUGCUGUAUGAAUCUUAGAACAAAGGCAUGGUGAGGAUGAAAAAGGAGCUACUUUUCCCACAAGAUGGCAGGUUUGCCACCACUGUUCUAGGCACAGCUUGCACCUCCAAGGAACAUCAGUCUGCCAUGAGUCCCACCUGUGCUUUUACCGAAGAGGGAGAUGUGCCUGGGAGCUGUGUCCACAGGUCCCUUGGGGACUAGGUGUUAAAAAAAAAAUAAAGCACACAGCAGGAAUGAACAGACAGAAUGUAUCUAUGUAGGUAUGUACAUACCACACAGUGCAGUAAUUUUUGUACGUAGCAGCAAUGUAAAUAAAUAUAUGGUUUUUAUAAGAUUCUAUAAAGGCAUAUUUUAGUAGAAAACACUGCUCUACGGCUUCUUUUGUAAAUAGUUCUCAUCCAAAUAAAAAAAAAAGUCCUUUCUA
Molecule: long non-coding RNA, 5236 nt
Organism: Sphaerodactylus townsendi
Lineage: Eukaryota; Metazoa; Chordata; Lepidosauria; Squamata; Sphaerodactylidae
Exons: 2
Source: RefSeq, a predicted model, not a curated record